This 1434-nucleotide ribosomal RNA is filed under the name Triticum aestivum (bread wheat). RNAcentral describes it as "partial small subunit ribosomal RNA". Lineage: Eukaryota; Viridiplantae; Streptophyta; Magnoliopsida; Poales; Poaceae. The record is from RNAcentral.
AUGGCCGAGUUGGAGAAGAAGUCCCCGGCCGACGUCGACGAUCCGAAGGCCAUCGAGACGGCGGUGGACGAGAACCAGAAGAAGAUGGAGGCGCUCUCGCUAUUGGCGCCGGAGGACGGCGGCGGCGGCGACGGACCGCCUCUGCUGGAUGACUACGACGACGACUCCCAAAUCCAAGCCGUGGCGUCUGGCGGCACCGUGUACGAAUCCGCGACGACCUUCGAGGACCUGAAGCUCACGCCGGAGCUGCUCAAGGGUCUGCACGACGAGAUGGGGUUCAGCCGCCCCAGGAAGAUCCAGGCCGUCACGCUUCCCAUGAUCCUCACGCCGCCCUACAAGAACCUCGUCGCGCAGGCGCACAACGGCUCCGGCAAGACCACCUGCUUCGUCCUCGGCAUGCUCAGCCGCGUCGACCCCAGCCGCAGGAUUCCCCAGGCCAUCUGCAUCUGCCCUACCAGGGAGCUUGCGCAGCAGAAUAAAUCCGUGCUCAUGAGGAUGAGCAAGUUUACCGGCAUUACCUGUGCCUCCGCCAUCUCGCCGGCUCUCAAGGAUUACAUGCCCAUCUCCAAGAUGGCACCGGUGACUGAUCAGGUGGUGAUUGGCACUUCUGGGACUCUCAUUAAGUGGAUAACCAAUAAGAAGCUUGCCACAAGGGACAUCAAGAUUCUUGUGUUCGACGAGGCAGACCAUAUGCUUGCUGAGGAGAACUUUAUGAGUGAUUCUACAAGGAUCAUGAGGGAUAUACAGAGCAGUGCCGGUGACUGCCAGCUGCUUCUGUUUUCUGCAACCUUCAACGAGAAAGUGAAGGAUUUUAUUACAAAGGUCAUUAAGGAGGGAAACCAGAUAUUUGUGAAGAAGGAAGAUCUUACUUUGGACAAAGUAAAGCAAUAUAAAGUCCGAGUCCCCGAUGAGAUAGCCAAAAUAGAGGUCAUAAGGGACAAGAUCUUUGAGUUUGGUCAGAAGGUUGGACAGGUUAUCAUAUUUGUGAGAACAAAGAUAAGUACUAAGAAUCUUCAUAAUGCUUUGACAAAAGAGGACUAUGUGUGUUCCUCAAUUCAAGGAUCCCUCGACCACGCAGAGAGGGAAAAGGUAAUACAGGAAUUCAAAGAUGGGUACACCAAGGUUCUUAUAUCAACUGAUCUUCUUGCCCGAGGUUUUGACCAAUCACAGGUCAAUCUGGUCAUCAACUACGACAUGCCAAUCAAGUAUAAUUCUAGAGAUGAGCCUGAUUAUGAGGUGUACCUGCACAGAAUUGGCAGAGCUGGGCGCUUUGGCCAAAAAGGAGCUGUGUUCAACCUGCUAUGCGGUGAAACUGAUGACAUUUUGAUGACAAAGAUCGAGAACUACUUCCAGCAUAAAGUACAGGAGGUCCCCAGCUGGGAGAGCGAGGAGAAUUUUGAGACUGUUCUUAAGGAUGCUGGUUUACUUGAGUAA